GAUGAAGUCUCCAUCAUGACUGGGCCACAGGGAUGGGGUCUCGCUGUGUUGCCCAGAUGGGGCCUCAAAUUCCUGGCCUCAAGCAGUCCUCCUGUCUCAGCCUCCCAAAGUGCUGGGACUACAGGCAUAAACUACCACACCCAGCCAGUAAGUAAUAGGCACUUUUAAACAGCUAUAUUGAGAUAUAAUUUACAUCUCAUAUACGCCAUCCAUUUAA
RNAcentral lists this long non-coding RNA (217 nucleotides) under Homo sapiens (human). Its description in RNAcentral is "non-protein coding lnc-NSDHL-1:1". The record is from RNAcentral. Lineage: Eukaryota; Metazoa; Chordata; Mammalia; Primates; Hominidae.